This 21-nucleotide non-coding RNA is filed under the name Caenorhabditis elegans. Lineage: Eukaryota; Metazoa; Nematoda; Chromadorea; Rhabditida; Rhabditidae. The record is from RNAcentral.
UGAUUCAGGUUACUUUUUUAC